AGGAAUCUGCCUAUUAGUGGGGGACAACAUUCCGAAAGGAAUGCUAAUACCGCAUACGCCCUACGGGGGAAAGCAGGGGAUCUUCGGACCUUGCGCUAAUAGAUGAGCCUAAGUCAGAUUAGCUAGUUGGUGGGGUAAAGGCCUACCAAGGCGACGAUCUGUAGCGGGUCUGAGAGGAUGAUCCGCCACACUGGGACUGAGACACGGCCCAGACUCCUACGGGAGGCAGCAGUGGGGAAUAUUGGACAAUGGGCGAAAGCCUGAUCCAGCCAUGCCGCGUGUGUGAAGAAGGCCUUUUGGUUGUAAAGCACUUUAAGCGAGGAGGAGGCUACUUGGAUUAAUACUCUAGGAUAGUGGACGUUACUCGCAGAAUAAGCACCGGCUAACUCUGUGCCAGCAGCCGCGGUAAUACAGAGGGUGCGAGCGUUAAUCGGAUUUACUGGGCGUAAAGCGUGCGUAGGCGGCUUUUUAAGUCGGAUGUGAAAUCCCUGAGCUUAACUUAGGAAUUGCAUUCGAUACUGGGAAGCUAGAGUAUGGGAGAGGAUGGUAGAAUUCCAGGU
Molecule: ribosomal RNA, 560 nt
Filed under: uncultured bacterium
Lineage: Bacteria
Description: bacterial SSU rRNA
Rfam family: Bacterial small subunit ribosomal RNA
Source: RNAcentral